This 496-nucleotide ribosomal RNA is filed under the name uncultured bacterium. RNAcentral describes it as "partial 16S ribosomal RNA". It matches the Rfam family "Bacterial small subunit ribosomal RNA", at positions 28 to 506 of the family's 1533-position model. The record is from RNAcentral.
GAUGAACGCUGGCGGCGUGCCUAAUACAUGCAAGUCGAGCGAACGGACGAGAAGCUUGCUUCUCUGAUGUUAGCGGCGGACGGGUGAGUAACACGUGGAUAACCUACCUAUAAGACUGGGAUAACUUCGGGAAACCGGAGCUAAUACCGGAUAAUAUUUUGAACCGCAUGGUUCAAAAGUGAAAGACGGUCUUGCUGUCACUUAUAGAUGGAUCCGCGCUGCAUUAGCUAGUUGGUAAGGUAACGGCUUACCAAGGCAACGAUGCAUAGCCGACCUGAGAGGGUGAUCGGCCACACUGGAACUGAGACACGGUCCAGACUCCUACGGGAGGCAGCAGUAGGGAAUCUUCCGCAAUGGGCGAAAGCCUGACGGAGCAGCGCCGCGUGAGUGAUGAAGGUCCUCGGAUCGUAAAACUCUGUUAUUAGGGAAGAACAUAUGUGUAAGUAACUGUGCACAUCUUGACGGUACCUAAUCAGAAAGCCACGGCUAACUACGU